This 484-nucleotide ribosomal RNA is filed under the name uncultured bacterium. Its description in RNAcentral is "partial 16S ribosomal RNA". It matches the Rfam family "Bacterial small subunit ribosomal RNA", at positions 30 to 507 of the family's 1533-position model. The record is from RNAcentral.
AUUGAACGCUGGCGGCAUGCUUUACACAUGCAAGUCGAACGGCAGCGCGGGCUUCGGCCUGGCGGCGGGUGGCGAACGGGUGAGUAAUACAUCGGAACGUGCCCAGUAGUGUGGGAUAGCUCGGCGAAAGCCGGAUUAAUACCGCAUACGACCUGAGGGUGAAAGCGGGGGAUCUUCGGACCUCCGGCUAUUGGAGCAUCCGAUGGCAGAUUAGCUAGUUGGUGGGGUAAAGGCCUACCAAGGCGACGAUCUGUAGCUGGUCUGAGAGGACGACCAGCCACACUGGGACUGAGGCACGGCCCAGACUCCUACGGGAGGCAGCAGUGGGGAAUAUUGGACAAUGGGCGCAAGCCUGAUCCAGCCAUGCCGCGUGUGUGAUGAAGGCCUUCGGGUUGUAAAGCACUUUUGGCGGGAACGAAAAGGACUGGGCUAAUACCACGCUUCGAUGACGGUACCCAAAGAAUAAGCACCGGCUAACUACGUG